Molecule: ribosomal RNA, 49 nt
Filed under: Pseudo-nitzschia decipiens
Lineage: Eukaryota; Bacillariophyta; Bacillariophyceae; Bacillariales; Bacillariaceae
Description: partial 18S ribosomal RNA
Source: RNAcentral
AAGGAUCAAUUCCACACCGAUCCAAGAUCUGUCUUCAUUGCGAAUCUGA